RNAcentral lists this ribosomal RNA (2023 nucleotides) under Salmonella enterica. RNAcentral's name for it is "partial 23S ribosomal RNA". It matches the Rfam family "Bacterial large subunit ribosomal RNA", at positions 711 to 2630 of the family's 2925-position model. The record is from RNAcentral. Lineage: Bacteria; Pseudomonadati; Pseudomonadota; Gammaproteobacteria; Enterobacterales; Enterobacteriaceae.
AGACCCGAAACCCGGUGAUCUAGCCAUGGGCAGGUUGAAGGUUGGGUAACACUAACUGGAGGACCGAACCGACUAAUGUUGAAAAAUUAGCGGAUGACCUGUGGCUGGGGGUGAAAGGCCAAUCAAACCGGGAGAUAGCUGGUUCUCCCCGAAAGCUAUUUAGGUAGCGCCUCGUGAAUUCAUCUCCGGGGGUAGAGCACUGUUUCGGCUAGGGGGCCAUCCCGGCUUACCAACCCGAUGCAAACUGCGAAUACCGGAGAAUGUUAUCACGGGAGACACACGGCGGGUGCUAACGUCCGUCGUGAAGAGGGAAACAACCCAGACCGCCAGCUAAGGUCCCAAAGUCAUGGUUAAGUGGGAAACGAUGUGGGAAGGCCCAGACAGCCAGGAUGUUGGCUUAGAAGCAGCCAUCAUUUAAAGAAAGCGUAAUAGCUCACUGGUCGAGUCGGCCUGCGCGGAAGAUGUAACGGGGCUAAACCAUGCACCGAAGCUGCGGCAGCGAACGUAUCACCCAAGACAACUUUACGGAGUUGACGAUUGACGGAGCGAAGCGACGUCAAAGCGUUCAUUAAAGUCGAGUUGGCUUAGGGAUACGUUCGUUGGGUAGGGGAGCGUUCUGUAAGCCUGUGAAGGUGUGUCGUGAGGCAUGCUGGAGGUAUCAGAAGUGCGAAUGCUGACAUAAGUAACGAUAAAGCGGGUGAAAAGCCCGCUCGCCGGAAGACCAAGGGUUCCUGUCCAACGUUAAUCGGGGCAGGGUGAGUCGACCCCUAAGGCGAGGCCGAAAGGCGUAGUCGAUGGGAAACGGGUUAAUAUUCCCGUACUUGGUGUUACUGCGAAGGGGGGACGGAGAAGGCUAUGUUGGCCGGGCGACGGUUGUCCCGGUUUAAGCGUGUAGGUGUGUGUUCCAGGUAAAUCCGGUUCACUUUAACACUGAGGCGUGACGACGAGGCACUACGGUGCUGAAGCAACAAAUGCCCUGCUUCCAGGAAAAGCCUCUAAGCAUCAGGUAACACGAAAUCGUACCCCAAACCGACACAGGUGGUCAGGUAGAGAAUACCAAGGCGCUUGAGAGAACUCGGGUGAAGGAACUAGGCAAAAUGGUGCCGUAACUUCGGGAGAAGGCACGCUGACACGUAGGUGAAGUGAUUUACUCAUGGAGCUGAAGUCAGUCGAAGAUACCAGCUGGCUGCAACUGUUUAUUAAAAACACAGCACUGUGCAAACACGAAAGUGGACGUAUACGGUGUGACGCCUGCCCGGUGCCGGAAGGUUAAUUGAUGGGGUCAGCGUAAGCGAAGCUCCUGAUCGAAGCCCCGGUAAACGGCGGCCGUAACUAUAACGGUCCUAAGGUAGCGAAAUUCCUUGUCGGGUAAGUUCCGACCUGCACGAAUGGCGUAAUGAUGGCCAGGCUGUCUCCACCCGAGACUCAGUGAAAUUGAACUCGCUGUGAAGAUGCAGUGUACCCGCGGCAAGACGGAAAGACCCCGUGAACCUUUACUAUAGCUUGACACUGAACAUUGAGCCUUGAUGUGUAGGAUAGGUGGGAGGCUUUGAAGUGUGGACGCCAGUCUGCAUGGAGCCGACCUUGAAAUACCACCCUUUAAUGUUUGAUGUUCUAACGUGGACCCGUAAUCCGGGUUGCGGACAGUGUCUGGUGGGUAGUUUGACUGGGGCGGUCUCCUCCUAAAGAGUAACGGAGGAGCACGAAGGUUGGCUAAUCCUGGUCGGACAUCAGGAGGUUAGUGCAAUGGCAUAAGCCAGCUUGACUGCGAGCGUGACGGCGCGAGCAGGUGCGAAAGCAGGUCAUAGUGAUCCGGUGGUUCUGAAUGGAAGGGCCAUCGCUCAACGGAUAAAAGGUACUCCGGGGAUAACAGGCUGAUACCGCCCAAGAGUUCAUAUCGACGGCGGUGUUUGGCACCUCGAUGUCGGCUCAUCACAUCCUGGGGCUGAAGUAGGUCCCAAGGGUAUGGCUGUUCGCCAUUUAAAGUGGUACGCGAGCUGGGUUUAGAACGUCGUGAGACAGU